Clupea harengus (Atlantic herring) is the source of this 123-nucleotide long non-coding RNA. RefSeq lists it as uncharacterized. NCBI's taxonomy places the organism in Eukaryota, Metazoa, Chordata, Actinopteri, Clupeiformes, Clupeidae. The record is from RefSeq and is a predicted model, not a curated record. The transcript is spliced from 2 exons.
ACACUGCAAAAAAUCAGCCUUUAAAAACAAGAAAAGAAAUCAUCUGUUGAGGAUAUUGCCAUUUGUUUUGGAGAGUUUUGAAGUCAAAUGCUCUUACCCGGUAGGAAGAAAUAUCUUGUCAAA